RNAcentral lists this transfer RNA (71 nucleotides) under Kiefferulus tainanus. RNAcentral's name for it is "tRNA-Glu". It matches the Rfam family "tRNA". Rfam says of the family: Transfer RNA (tRNA) molecules are approximately 80 nucleotides in length. RNAcentral also lists the same sequence under 1 other name. The record is from RNAcentral. Lineage: Eukaryota; Metazoa; Arthropoda; Insecta; Diptera; Chironomidae.
UUUUAUAUAGUUUAAUCAUAAAACAUUAUAUUUUCAUUAUAAAAAUAAAGAUUUAAUUUCUUUUAUAAAAU